This 501-nucleotide ribosomal RNA is filed under the name uncultured bacterium. RNAcentral describes it as "partial 16S ribosomal RNA". It matches the Rfam family "Bacterial small subunit ribosomal RNA", at positions 29 to 523 of the family's 1533-position model. The record is from RNAcentral.
AUUGAACGCUGGCGGCAUGCCUUACACAUGCAAGUCGAACGGCAGCACGGGUGCUUGCACCUGGUGGCGAGUGGCGAACGGGUGAGUAAUACAUCGGAACGUACCUUAUCGUGGGGGAUAACGCAGCGAAAGCUGUGCUAAUACCGCAUACGCCCUGAGGGGGAAAGCGGGGGAUCGAAAGACCUCGCGCGAUGAGAACGGCGGAUGCCUGAUUAGCUUGUUGGUGGGGUAAAAGCCCACCAAGGCGACGAUCAGUAGCUGGUCUGAGAGGACGAUCAACCACACUGGGACUGAGACACGGCCCAGACUCCUACGGGAGGCAGCAGUGGGGAAUUUUGGACAAUGGGGGCAACCCUGAUCCAGCAAUGCCGCGUGAGUGAAGAAGGCCUUCGGGUUGUAAAGCUCUUUUGUCAGGGAAGAAACACCGGCUCUAACACAGUCCGGGAAUGACGGUACCUGAAGAAUAAGCACGGGCUAACUACGUGCCAGCCGCCGCGGUAA